RNAcentral lists this ribosomal RNA (405 nucleotides) under uncultured bacterium. RNAcentral describes it as "partial 16S ribosomal RNA". It matches the Rfam family "Bacterial small subunit ribosomal RNA", at positions 28 to 526 of the family's 1533-position model. The record is from RNAcentral.
GAUGAACGCUGGCGGCGUGCCUAAUACAUGCAAGUCGAGCGAAGCGGGGACGGGUGAGUAACACGUGGAUAACCUCCUAUAAGACUGGGAUAACUUUGGGAAACCGGAGCUAAACCGGAUAAUUAUGGAUGGACCCGCGUUGCAUUAGCUAGUUGGGAAGUUACCGGCUUACCAGGGCAACGAUGCAUAGCCGACCUGCGAGGGUGAUCGGCCACACUGGACCUGUGACACGGUCCAGACUCCCACGGGAGGCAGCAGUAGUGGAUCUUCCGCAAUGGGCGAAAGCCUGGCGGAGCAACGCCGCGUGAGUGAUGUAGGUCUUCAGAUCGUAAAACUCUGUUAUUAGGGACGCGGUACCUAAUCAGGAAGCCCCGGCUAACUACGUGCCAGCAGCCGCGGUAAUAC